GACGAACGCUGGCGGCGUGCUUAACACAUGCAAGUCGAACGGAAAGGCCCUGCUUUUGUGGGGUGCUCGAGUGGCGAACGGGUGAGUAACACGUGAGUAACCUGCCCUUGACUUUGGGAUAACUUCAGGAAACUGGGGCUAAUACCGGAUAGGAGCUCCUGCUGCAUGGUGGGGGUUGGAAAGUUUCGGCGGUUGGGGAUGGACUCGCGGCUUAUCAGCUUGUUGGUGGGGUAGUGGCUUACCAAGGCUUUGACGGGUAGCCGGCCUGAGAGGGUGACCGGCAAGGGUGGGGCGGGUCGGCGAGGGAGGAGGCGGGGGGAGGAGGGAGGGGCGAAGAGUGGACAGGGGGGGGGAGUGGGAGGCAGGGGCGCCGCGGGGGGGGGGGCGGCGUGGGGGUUGUAAACGGCGUGGGGCGGGGAGGGAGCGGGGUGGACGGGAAGGAGAAAAGAAGCACCGGCUAACUCCGGGCAAGCAGCUGCGGGAAUAGUCGAAGCGCACCCGUUGGACC
This 508-nucleotide ribosomal RNA is filed under the name uncultured bacterium. Its description in RNAcentral is "partial 16S ribosomal RNA". The stretch from base 20 to 328 matches the Rfam family "Bacterial small subunit ribosomal RNA", at positions 47 to 358 of the family's 1533-position model. The record is from RNAcentral.